CUACGUGUGGCAGCAGUGAGGAAUAUUGGUCAAUGGGCGCGAGCCUGAACCAGCCACGUAGCGUGAAGGAUGACUGCCCUACGGGUUGUAAACUUCUUUUAUAAAGUACUAACGUGAGGCACGUGUUCCUUUUUGUAUGUACUUUAUGACUAAGGAUCGGCUAACUCCGUGCCAGCAGCCGCGGUAAUACGGAGGAUCCGGGCGUUAUCCGGAUUUAUUGGGUUUAAAGGGAGCGUAGAUGGGUUGAUAAGUCAGUUGUGAAAGUUUGCGGCUCAACCGUAAAAGUGCAAUUGAGACUGGCAGCCUUGAGUACAGUUGAGGUAGGCGGAAUUCGUGGUGUAGCGGUGAAAUGCUUAGAUAGCACGAAGAACUCCGAUUGCGAAGGCAGCCUACUAAACUGCCACUGACAUUGAUGCUCGAAAGUGUGGGUAUCAAACAGGAUGAGAUACCCCUGUAGUC
RNAcentral lists this ribosomal RNA (459 nucleotides) under uncultured bacterium. RNAcentral describes it as "partial 16S ribosomal RNA". It matches the Rfam family "Bacterial small subunit ribosomal RNA", at positions 339 to 795 of the family's 1533-position model. The record is from RNAcentral.